CACGUGGCGGUGGGGCUCAGGCGGCUUUUGGCAAAAAGAUUUAUCGUAACAGCAGAGAAGCAAAGCAGUGCUGAGGAUAUAGCUCAGUGGUAAAAACACUUUCGCAGUGUUUUCAUGAGAUAGGCCUCAGAUUCAAUUCCCAGUACUACCACAAACAAAUAAUAAUAAUAGCAAAAGUAGGAGGACUAAUAGCAGUAUAACAACCAAUACCUUUUUUCAAAUGACAGAUGUACAAAAGGAGCCCUUUGACCACUCAGAUGAAAAAAGGACAAAGCCACAGCUGGCACCUCACUGUGAGACUGAAGUAGAAGAUGGCAGAAAACAUGUAUUGAGAACAGUGCCACAACAUAAGAAUGGGAAGAAAAGACAGAAGAAGAAUAAGGGACACUAACUCCUUCAAGAAUACUGACUCUUAUAUGGAUGAUAAUGCAAAUAAUUGAAAUGAAGGCAGCAGAUAAAAUUCAAAUAUGACCAUGAAGAGGAAGAGAAGGUGGAAAAAGCAUCAUCUGACAAUGAAGAUGAUGGAGACAGCAGUCACAAAGUUAACCAAGUGGAGAGACACUUUCCAAGUCUCAUGAUAGCUAAUCUUGGUUAUCAUCUUGACACACUUGGGAAGAACCUCAACUGAGAAAUUGCCUCUAUCAUACUGGUCCAAGGCCACACCAAUGUGGUCUGUACCAUUCCGAAAGCCUUCAUCCAGUAGCUGAUGGAAGCAGAAGCAGACACCCACAGCUAAGCACUGAGCAGAACUCCUGGAAUCCAGUUGUACAGAGGGAGGAGUGAUGAGCAAAGGGGUCAAGACCAGACUGGGGAAACCCACAGACACACUCAAGGUUGUUAUCCCAAAAGGCAAUAUAGCUUUCAGCAAAAAGGCAACAGAUAAGGUACUCUUUGGUGGGGGCUGGGGCUGGGGCUGUUAACUGACUAAACCAACUCCCAUACUUCCCAGUCUUAUGCACUGAAAAUAUACUCAUUAGUACAUAGCCCAGUUAAACAAGUUUCAAACAACCUUCUGUCCUUUCAAUGAUGUGAUGUUAUCAUGUUAUUUUAUUAUGUUCCUGUUUUGUUUAUGGACUGUAGCUAAAUGUUACUUGUAUGUAAACUGCAUUAAUGUUCCAAAGAAUCUGAGGCUAUCAUUAAGAUUAUGCCUGAUUUUAAGGUGUGUGUACGUGUAAAUGAUGUAUAUUUAAUUAUCUUAAGGUGAUUCAAGAUUUUAUGACUUUAUAUACAGUUCUCGUACCAGAGUAUUUAAAAUGGUCAUCAUGCUCUGAACAUUUGGGAUACAAUGCACAUGAUUUUGAUGUUUCAAAUAAUAUUUGUUAAGCUUUAAUUUUAAAAUAUAAUUGGUUUUUAAAUUUAUAUACAAAAUAGCCUAGUAAAAAUUAAAAUAUUAACUAUAGCUUAUAGUUAUUUUAAAAUGCUUUUACAUAAAAUAUUUUUACAUAAAAAUUUAGAAAGGAUUGCUAUAAAAUAGUUUUAAAUCAAUUAAUUAUAACAUUUAAGGUCAAAAUAAUGUUAGAUCUAUGCAAAACUGAUGCCUGAUACUUUAUUUACAACAACAAGGUUUGCUUAAAUAUUGGUGUACUCUUAGUAACGUUUACUGAAUCUUUGCAGUGUUUACAAAAAAUGUUUCAAAUAAACAAGAAUUUUGUAGUAUUCCUUUGUUAAUGAGAUAUCUAGAAAGUUAUGAUAAGAUUAUUUCAAAUGUUCUUUCUAUUUUUUUCUAAUGGGUAAAUUAGAUAGGUAUUACAGAUCUUAUUUUAUUAAACAAAAAACUCAAUUGUAUUUAAAUUUUGCCUCGUUUUAAAAAUGCUCAUGGUCCCAUGUUCACUCCUCUAGGUUCAUAAUUAAAUAAACAAUUGCCACUAAUAA
Non-coding RNA from Cricetulus griseus (Chinese hamster), 1872 nucleotides. The record is from RefSeq and is a predicted model, not a curated record. NCBI's taxonomy places the organism in Eukaryota, Metazoa, Chordata, Mammalia, Rodentia, Cricetidae.